This 82-nucleotide transfer RNA is filed under the name Pontibacter populi. RNAcentral describes it as "tRNA-Leu". It matches the Rfam family "tRNA". From Rfam's summary of the family: Transfer RNA (tRNA) molecules are approximately 80 nucleotides in length. Their secondary structure includes four short double-helical elements and three loops (D, anti-codon, and T loops). The record is from RNAcentral. Lineage: Bacteria; Pseudomonadati; Bacteroidota; Cytophagia; Cytophagales; Hymenobacteraceae. RNAcentral also lists the same sequence under 12 other names.
GCGCACGUGGCGAAAUUGGUAGACGUGCAGGUCUCAGAAGCCUGUGCCUUCGGGUGUGGGAGUUCGAGUCUCCCCGUGCGCA